GAUAGUGGAAUCUUUUGGAUUUCUCAAAGUUGAAACUCCAGUUCUACAGGGAGCAGCUGGUGGAGUAGAAGCAAGACCAUUUGUUACCUACCAUAAUUCGCUAGGAAGGGAUCUUUAUUUGAGGAUAGCAACAGAGCUCCACUUGAAGAGGAUGCUGGUUGAAGUGCCUGGGGGCCGAGGGAAGCCAUCCAAAAUUGUUGACAAGGAUGAAGGUCUAGAAAAGUUUGAUGCUGCAAAAUUAAGAAAGCUUAGACCAAGUUUCAAGCAGAACGAGG
This is a long non-coding RNA of Humulus lupulus (European hop), 275 nucleotides long. RefSeq lists it as uncharacterized. Lineage: Eukaryota; Viridiplantae; Streptophyta; Magnoliopsida; Rosales; Cannabaceae. The record is from RefSeq and is a predicted model, not a curated record. The transcript has 4 exons.